GACGAACGCUGGCGGCGUGCUUAACACAUGCAAGUCGAACGGAAAGGCCCUGCUUUUGUGGGGUGCUCGAGUGGCGAACGGGUGAGUAACACGUGAGUAACCUGCCCUUGACUUUGGGAUAACUUCAGGAAACUGGGGCUAAUACCGGAUAGGAGCUCCUGCUGCAUGGUGGGGGUUGGAAAGUUUCGGCGGUUGGGGAUGGACUCGCGGCUUAUCAGCUUGUUGGUGGGGUAGUGGCUUACCAAGGCUUUGACGGGUAGCCGGCCUGAGAGGGUGACCGGCCACAUUGGGACUGAGAUACGGCCCAGACUCCUACGGGAGGAAGCAGUGGGGAAUAUGGCACAAGGGGCGGAAGCCUGAUGCAGCAACGCCGCGUGCGGGAUGACGGCCUUCGGGUUGUAAACCGCUUUCGCCUGUGACGAAGCGUGAGUGACGGUAAUGGGUAAAGAAGCACCGGCUAACUACGU
RNAcentral lists this ribosomal RNA (467 nucleotides) under uncultured bacterium. Its description in RNAcentral is "partial 16S ribosomal RNA". It matches the Rfam family "Bacterial small subunit ribosomal RNA", at positions 28 to 506 of the family's 1533-position model. The record is from RNAcentral.